This 73-nucleotide transfer RNA is filed under the name Arsenophonus sp. RNAcentral's name for it is "tRNA-Trp". It matches the Rfam family "tRNA". From Rfam's summary of the family: Transfer RNA (tRNA) molecules are approximately 80 nucleotides in length. Lineage: Bacteria; Pseudomonadati; Pseudomonadota; Gammaproteobacteria; Enterobacterales; Morganellaceae. The record is from RNAcentral.
GGGGGCAUAGUUCAAUUGGUAGAGCUCCGGUCUCCAAAACCGGCGGUUGGGAGUUCAAGUCUCUCUGCCCCUG